RNAcentral lists this ribosomal RNA (253 nucleotides) under uncultured bacterium. RNAcentral describes it as "partial 16S ribosomal RNA". It matches the Rfam family "Bacterial small subunit ribosomal RNA", at positions 524 to 776 of the family's 1533-position model. The record is from RNAcentral.
UACGAAGGGGGCUAGCGUUGCUCGGAAUCACUGGGCGUAAAGGGUGCGUAGGCGGUUCUUUAAGUCAGGGGUGAAAUCCUGGAGCUCAACUCCAGAACUGCCUUUGAUACUGAGGAUCUUGAGUUCGGGAGAGGUGAGUGGAACUGCGAGUGUAGAGGUGAAAUUCGUAGAUAUUCGCAAGAACACCAGUGGCGAAGGCGGCUCACUGGCCCGGUACUGACGCUGAGGUGCGAAAGCGUGGGGAGCAAACAGG